CUCAUUGUUCCUCCUAUUAUUUCUCAAAAUAUAAAUGAAACUAAUUGAGGUUACUUAUGCCACUCACCUAUACAUCUAGCAAAUACCAAAUAUGUGAUGCUACUAGCAACUUUAAAAGAUAUAUAAUACGAAGAAAAUCAAGUUAUCAAUCUCGUAACAUCCAUAUCCAUAAAUCAUGUGCAUGUAUAUGAAUAUGUAAAGUUAUGAUCGAUAUCCAAAACAGGCCGAACAUAAUACUGAAAACAUCUUUAAAGAAAAGUUGGAACAUAAAGGAAUUAUUUUUCUUUUUGGUUGGAAAUCAAUUGCUCAUUGAUCCUACCAUUAUUUCUCAAAAUAUUAGACCAGAAAAUUGAAUGGGGCCAAAACUGGACGGCUGAGCCACCCAAGCAUAAAAAUAGAAUCUGACACAGUGCCACGUAAGCAGAGUCUUCAUUUCAACAACGAGUCUUUCGGAUCCCCUGGCAGUCAAAUCAUGUGCGUUUCACGUGGUAACGGCUGAACCGUUCGCUAAUCGCAGACCACAGACUCAGUGGGGCCCCUUCCGUAUUUUUUUAAAGUACUGUACAGCCAAGUUUGACAUCAUCCACCGUCCGUUCAGCGCCGUAGGGAGAAUGGUAGCCAUACAAUUUAAUUGGGCCGGGUUAAGGGAAAUAUGAUUUUAUUCUCCUGGGCUGAAGGUUGCGGCCCAGGUUAUAAGGGAAAUAUUUGGGCACUAAAAAUCAAGAUAAUCAAGCAACGGCGGAAUUGAUGGUAGUUCCAUAAAUCUAGACACCCUUAGUUCGCUCAUGUUAUGUGUGUGACCGUGUGAGCUAAGAUUUUUUUGAGUCUACCAUUUCAUAUCAUUGGGGAUAUACAUAUAAUUACGUGUCUAUUUCGCUUAUUAUAGGUUAAGUUGUAUGAUUAGGAGACUAAAGUUAUAAAAUCUCGAGUAUUGGUAUUGUCUAGUGUAAAGUUGUAAGUUUUACUCAUCGGAGUAGUGAUAAGCAAGACCGAACUUGGGAUUCUAAGUCAUACAUCAUCGGUUCCAAACAUAGUUUUCAAACUCCGGCAACAAUAUAUCCCUUAUAGCACUGCAAAUAUUAAAUUCUUGUAAAGACUUCAAAGGAAGAAAUGAAACAUAAGAGACAUUUAGGUUUUCUAGACGAUUAUUGUCAAUUUAUUAUGAUUGUAAGUAUUUCUCCUUAAAGUUGUAGUAAGCUAAACGGAACUUAGGUAUACAUCAUUCAUCCGCGAUUUCAAACCUAGUCCUCAUACUAGAGUCAAUAGUCGCUACUCUUUGCCAAAAACAUAGGACUCUAUUAUGAAUUUCCAAGCAUUUUGAAAUAAGAAAUGAAGCAUGGAGCACACAUAUUCUGACCAUCAAAUCUCAAAAACAACUAAAACCCACAUUUAUUUUUUCAUAUAUGCAAUUAUUUAAAAAGAAGACAACCAAGUUCCCGUCACCUUUGAUUAUCCAAAUAGGGGGCGGCAAGCCACCCCAAGGACGCUUUAUUUGGUCUGGUCGGUAUUGAUGGAGAUUGAUCUGCUUGUAGUUUUAUGAGGAUCAAGCAUGGCAAGUAUGGUGGCUUACUAAAGCAAAAGGAAAAAUGUCCUACAUAUAUACACACAUUUGCACCCCCAAAAUUAUGUUUACUAUAUUUUGUUUGGACACACAAUUAUUCUUGGAAUCGUGGGACGGUGUUCCAUGUCAUCGAUACUAAUCAUCUAGCUGGAUUUUCAGAUUUUGUACCAACUUGGCCAUACCGAGACUAAAAUUACCACAUAGGCAUAUCUUGUACUUUUACUUUUGGUACAUAACCUAAAACAUAGAUAAUAAAGAAAAAUCCAUGGCCCAAAUGCUUUUCUUGAUAGUCCAUUUUCAAUUUAAAGUAAGUCGUAUUAUCAGGUAGGGGGUGGAUUAGCUAAUUGAGGGCGACAAGCGGUGAAUUUAAAACUUUUAUAUGUUUGACAAAAUUAUAGAUUCGAGAUCCAAAAACUUUUAAAUUUCAAAAAAUAAAAAUUAUAAUUUUUAAUUUUUUUUUGGUUCCUUUAUAUCGUUUUUUUUUUUUUUGGGUCUGAGGAAGAAACAAACUCCACAACCAGAACACCUCCACAAUCACCACCACCGUCAUACCAGCUUUCGAACCCUGCCAGCUCUUGAGAAAGGCGGACGCCUUAACCACAAAGCUGACGGGAAAGCCAAUUAUAAUCUUUAAUUUUGUUUUGUCUUGAACAAUGGUGAUAAGAGAGACAACCCCACAAAUCUACGAGCCUUAUGAGCCACCAUGACUCGUAAGAAAUCAACUAACAUUUAGGUCCACUACCAGUUACCAUAUGAGUCGUUACUCCCCGAUGACCUAAGAUUUUCCACCUUGAAAGCACGCACGCAUCCAGUUGCAUCUCAUGAUGAUAAUCUAAAAUCUCUAGAUCAAGCUAAUUCAUUCACUAGCGUCACAUGAAUUCCACAAAACCAAAAUACUCAACUUACUAGUGAGAGAUAUGUGAAUGUUGAGGCUUGAACAUGAAUGCGAAUUUCACUCAAACUAAUAUCUUGCCGUUCUUAUCAUAGAGAAGUCUCUUGAGAAAUUUUUUCCCAACAUAUAAUUAACAACAACAAAAUUAUUUCUGUGGAAAUUAAGAAAGAUGGUUGCCUGGGACACUUAGCAUCGGGACCCUGCAAGUUUGGCAACCUGGAC
This 2675-nucleotide long non-coding RNA is filed under the name Fragaria vesca (wild strawberry). RNAcentral describes it as "long non-coding RNA (FVES_LNC003432)". The record is from RNAcentral. Lineage: Eukaryota; Viridiplantae; Streptophyta; Magnoliopsida; Rosales; Rosaceae.